RNAcentral lists this long non-coding RNA (429 nucleotides) under Bos taurus (domestic cattle). RNAcentral's name for it is "long non-coding RNA NONBTAT025915". Lineage: Eukaryota; Metazoa; Chordata; Mammalia; Artiodactyla; Bovidae. The record is from RNAcentral.
GACACAAAUGAUCAGGAGAGAGAUUUUGCAAGAUACUGACAGCAGAACAAGUGUAGGAAUCCCACCACGUGAGCAUGUUGGUAACUGUUCGUCACAGUCAGAGGACAGAAUGACUCAGAAGAUAAUGGAGCUUUGAAGUCUAGCAGAAUAUGAAGUCUUUCCUCUUCUGGUUUAAAUUUAAAAGUACUACCCUCCCAGGUACCCCCCACCAAGGCUCUGAUGCAAACGAAAAUCAGAUAAUAAGUGACUCAGCUUGAAAGGUCAAGCUCCUCACCAGAAAUGUCAAAAAGGACUCCGUUACCUUUGCUGUUUUCACAAUGAACAGAGUCAGCUUCCACAGGGCACCAGGGUGGUGGCACAUUAGUUCUUAAAUAAAGAAAAAAAGGAGUUGGUGUCAGAAGCGGUCUUUUUCUGACUCAUUUGCUCUCC